RNAcentral lists this ribosomal RNA (429 nucleotides) under Gemmatimonadota bacterium. RNAcentral describes it as "Gemmatimonadetes bacterium partial 16S ribosomal RNA". It matches the Rfam family "Bacterial small subunit ribosomal RNA", at positions 355 to 776 of the family's 1533-position model. The record is from RNAcentral. Lineage: Bacteria; Pseudomonadati; Gemmatimonadota.
UAGGGAAUCUUCGGCAAUGGACGAAAGUCUGACCGAGCAACGCCGCGUGAGUGAAGAAGGUUUUCGGAUCGUAAAACUCUGUUGUUAGAGAAGAACAAGGACGUUAGUAACUGAACGUCCCCUGACGGUAUCUAACCAGAAAGCCACGGCUAACUACGUGCCAGCAGCCGCGGUAAUACGUAGGUGGCAAGCGUUGUCCGGAUUUAUUGGGCGUAAAGCGAGCGCAGGCGGUUUCUUAAGUCUGAUGUGAAAGCCCCCGGCUCAACCGGGGAGGGUCAUUGGAAACUGGGAGACUUGAGUGCAGAAGAGGAGAGUGGAAUUCCAUGUGUAGCGGUGAAAUGCGUAGAUAUAUGGAGGAACACCAGUGGCGAAGGCGGGUCUCUGGUCUGUAACUGACGCUGAGGCUCGAAAGCGUGGGGAGCAAACAGG